Molecule: long non-coding RNA, 1487 nt
Organism: Bos taurus (domestic cattle)
Lineage: Eukaryota; Metazoa; Chordata; Mammalia; Artiodactyla; Bovidae
Source: Ensembl
UGCCAGGUACCAGGCAUUUAUCAAUACUUUGGUAAAGUAUUGAACAUCUCUGAAACUCUGUUUUUCCCAAUGGAAAACAGGUUAACCUCACUAGUCCAUCAAGUCCCCUGUAUUUCUGACCCUCUGGGAUUCUGUGAUCCUACAAACAGAGAAACCAGCCCUAGUCGAAGCACCGUGACUUCAUUUGGCGCUUGGUUCUCAGCACUGGUGUACAUUAGCAACUACUUCCUGAUCUGUUGCAAUGUCUCCUGUGGGUUUUGUCUCUCUGUUAGACCCAUAAGCUCUCCAAGGGCAGAGACUGUCUUCACCUCCAGUAAUCCUUCUCCCAACUCAGUGCUUAGAAGCAAGGGGCCUUAGAGAGAAUUGCAGGUUGUCGGCAGAAACCAAGAGACCUGGAUGGCAGCUGAAUCCCAUUCCCUGGGCUCCGGUGUUUCUAUUUCCAUCCUCACAUGCUCAUUAUCUACAACCACUCACCACCAGGCUGGCCUUCUGGCCAUAAAAGGUUAAACGACUACUAGUAAUGACUUCACCUCUCAGCAAGGAGUAACAGCCAGGUAGCAUUGUCUCAUUUCAACCCUUGUCCUGUGCUCCCGUAUACCCACUGCCCAGAGUACCCACCUUCAACUGUGCGUUUGCUCUCUCAGCUCCUCACGAAGACACUCGACCCCUUUCUAGCUGCUGCCACUUCAGAGCAAGAAACUCUAAGCUGCUAUUUCAUCAUGCACGGAUGUGAGACUUGGACCAUGAAGAAGGCUGAGCACCAAAGAACUGAUGCUUUCAAAUUGUGGUCCUGGAGAAGACUUUUGGACUGCAAGUAGAUCAAACCAGUCAAUCCUAAAGGAAAUCAACCCUGAAUAUUCAUUGGAAGGACUGAUGCUGAAGCUGUAGCUCCAAUACUCUGGCCACCUGAUGCAAACAGCCAACUUAUUGAAAAAGACCCUGUUACUGGGAAGGACAGAAGGCAAAAGAAGGAGGUGGAAGAGGAUGGUUAGGUGGUUAGAUGGCGUAACAGACUCAAUGGACAUGAAUUUGAGCCAACUCUGGGAUAUAGUGAAGGACAGGGAAGCCCGGCAUACUGCAGUUCAUGGAGUCACAAAGAGUUGGACACAACUUAGUGUCUGAACAACCACAGAAGUAGGAAGAAAUCUGAAAGAACUAGGUGGUACGAGAUGACGGAAGGUCCCUGUGGCAUUCUAUUACUAAUCCACAAGAUUUUCUGUCCCUCCCUUCCCUCUUGAAGGCAGUCUUGGUUUGGCUGACUGUUCUGACCAGCAAAAUAUAAGAAGUAAAACACAUCACUUUCUAGUGGAGACUUCAAGACCAGCAGGAACUUUGCUAUGCUCCUUGACAUCAAGCCACAGGUUGUGCUUUUUUCCCUCCAAUUGACACAAGACAACCUGCAGCUCCCUGGAGUCGCUCCUCUGGCAGCCUAGGGCCCUGGCUGACGGUCCCCAACUGAAAAUGACAACACAAGUGGAGCCCCACUC